UGGGGAAUAUUGCACAAUGGGCGCAACCCUGAUGCAGCCAUGCCGCGUGUAUGAAGAAGGCCUUCGGGUUGUAAAGUACUUUUGUUCGGGAGGAAGGUGGUAAGGUUAAUAACCUUAUCAAUUGACGUUACCGACAGAAGAAGCACCGGCUAACUCCGUGCCAGCAGCCGCGGUAAUACGGAGGGUGCAAGCGUUAAUCGGAUUUACUGGGCGUAAAGCGCACGCAGGCGGUUGAUUGAGUCAGAUGUGAAAUCCCCGGGCUUAACCCGGGAAUUGCAUCUGAUACUGGACAGCUAGAGUCUUGUAGAGGGGGGUAGAAUUCCAUGUGUAGCGGUGAAAUGCGUAGCGAUGUGGGAGAAUACCGGUGGCGAAGGCGGCCCCAUGGACAAAGACUGACGCUCAGGUGCGAAAGCGUGGGGAGCGAACAGG
Molecule: ribosomal RNA, 429 nt
Filed under: Chloroflexota bacterium
Lineage: Bacteria; Bacillati; Chloroflexota
Description: Chloroflexi bacterium partial 16S ribosomal RNA
Rfam family: Bacterial small subunit ribosomal RNA
Source: RNAcentral